UGCAAGCAUGCACAAAAAUCCACUUUAAUCAAUUUUCAUUAUAAAAUUCCCCCAAAUCCAGCAGGUGGCAGUGAGCAACAGUUUGAAAUUCAAAUGCUGCAGAAGGGAAGUAUAAUUUCCAUUAGUGAAACUAAAAGGAUACUGGAUUCAUUUAGGAGCUAAAUGGCACAAUUGUGGCUGGUACAUGAAGGCAUCUAAACAAAUGAAUCACUUUUCAGACUGGUAGCUUCUAAGUCAGCCUUAGAAGGUGACAUCUUGAUCCCUCCUUUGCUGCUUUGUAGCUCCUCGUCGGGCAGGCACUAUAGCUUUAUGCUGUGAUGCAGUGCUGUGCAGAUAAGGGUUGUUAGCUUUACAGUAUAGAAAACAAUUCACUCUGCUAGAUUAAUGGAAAUGCAGAAUGUCUUUUUGAAUAGCUCAUUUUACAUCAAAGUCUUUUCAUGGGAGGUAUAAUGAAUCGAAGUGUGAUAGGCAAUUUAAUUCAUUACAGCUGUCAACCAGUGAGCAGUGCUGCACUUGAUUUGUUUUGGUGCCUCUUGCAGGUUGCUGCCAAGGUGUUAGUCAUUACACUUCAUUUUGUGAACUACCCAGGUGGUGAAAACAGAAAAAGUUGCUGGGCAGAAUGGGAGCAGAGCUUCCUCCUCUAUAGAUGUGAGGAAAAUGCUGGAAGAAAAAGCAAAGUUACGCUGCCCGAGCACUUGUGCAGAGAGUGUGACUCCAGCUGAGAGUAAUUCCCAGAGGCAGCAAGCGGAGGGCAUCAGUUGGGUGAUUGUGUGUUUUGGCUCUGAGGCUUCCUAUGGUCUACUUCUUGUUUAGCCAGCAGACUUCAUAGUUUCUAAGUUCUCAGAUGGACCCGCUGAUUUAGUCAGUGCUGAGGAACACAUUACAAAGCAUUCAGAAGCAUACAAAAUGAGUGCUUUGGCACAGUGAGCUGAUACAGCAUGGUUUCGUAUUAUGGGAUGGGGAAAAUGACAGUGCCCUAGCUCAGUUAACUCCAAAUGCUGCUGUUUGUCACCGGAGAGGUGGCUGCCUCAGCAACUUCUCCUGCCAUCACUAAUGCAUCCUCCCGAGUGAUGGAUUGAAAGGUGCACUCUGCAUCUCCAUGUGUCAAAACAAAUAAAUUGAUUUCAGUCGUUGAAUACAACAGCUAAUCUGAAUGUAAAGAGAAAACUGAAUUAUAAGAGAUGAUUUAUGCCACUAAGGUCAUGUCAUGGUGAAGUAGGACUCAAUAUUCUCUCCACAAACUGGAAUACCAUAAAAAGGACAAUAAAGAAACCAAUUUAGACAGAGCCAAGCUCUUCUCUGCAAUAAUUGCUUGAUUCUGGCAGGGCACUGGUGAGAUGAAUGCAUCACUCUGUGUGUGCUAAUCCAGCAUGGAACAGAAUUUGGACUGUGUUACACAGAGGGACAAUGAUUUAUGUGAAUAUGGAGGUAGCCUGGGUUUGAAAUUGAUUACAGGUUUCAGGUCUUUGGAUGCUCUUUGGGAGAUGGCAGGCUUUAUCACCAAGUUGCUGUGGAUUACAAAAAAAAAUCAACAAGCCAAAAUCACAAAAGCAAACAUCUUAUUUUUAGAUAUGGUGUCCUCUGCAUCAAAUCAAAUACCUGAUUACUUCAGUCACAUACAAGAGUAUAUGCAGUGAACUGGAUUUUUCCCUGGAAUUCAGUAAUGGUCCCUGAACUACUGCUUUUUGGGAGCUGUAGAGAUUAUACAGGUGGUAUUUUGGGUACUUUGGGCUUCUGAGAAAGCUGGUGUGCUUUUUUUUUUUUUUUUUUUUUUUUUUUUAACCUAGUUGAUCAGCGGGGGUGGCAUGUGAGGAAACUUUGCAAGGUGAUGAAUGCUGUGAGAGGUACCAUAUGCAGUGAAAGUUGUAGAGCUGUGUAGGAAGUAGGUAUUUUUGUCAUGCUUUACAUUCUAGAAGAUAAAAUACUUUUAAAAUCUCUAAUAGAGUGUUAGGAUAUUUUAGAUGGAUCUAAAGCUUGCACUUUGAGGAAAAAUUAAAAAAUGAUUUUCCUUAUGAUCUUCAGAAAAUAUUUUCUAUACUGAAGCUAUGCAGGCAGUCUCUAAUAAAAAGCCUGACAAUAAAA
Molecule: long non-coding RNA, 2082 nt
Organism: Oxyura jamaicensis (ruddy duck)
Lineage: Eukaryota; Metazoa; Chordata; Aves; Anseriformes; Anatidae
Exons: 2
Source: RefSeq, a predicted model, not a curated record